GUGGCCAACUGGGAAAGUUUACGCAGAAUUUGUUGUCCAGAGUUUUAAUUUGGGCUCAAUCACACACGGCCUGCAUGGCUGACUUUAGUGUCCAGCCCCCCAUGAGGCUUCGGGCUAACACCUAUAGUCUCUAGUUCCUCCAGGGGUCAGUACUUAUGUGAUGCUUCCCAAAGCCCUUAUCAUAAAUCAUUGUCCAGUUCCAAAGCCCCCAGGCAAACAGAGACACUCUGUGAGGCAGGAUAUUCCAGGGCCCUAGGGAUUACCUCCUGAGACAGAAGGCAAAAGCCUGACCUCUCUUUACUACCUAAGAGCCAUUGUUCAUCUGCUUUGAGAAAGUAGAUUUGCUAUCUGCGUGAUGCUGUGGCUCACUCUCACCAGCUCUGUGAUCCUGGGUAGCAAACCUAACACUUGUCUGGGCCUCAGUUUCUUCAUCUGUGGGUGGACGGAUCUCCCAGUUUGGGAACUGUCUUCCAAAUAACACUAGAGGAAAGCAAAGGCAGGGAAAUGCCGUUUGGAGUAGAGAGGCCCAAGUUUGCAGCCACUGACACUGGGAGAGCUGUGUGCUUGUUCACUUGGGGCUGAGUCAGAUGCUGUUGGCCUGAAUGCAUUUGGGAAGAGAAAACAACCUAAUUUUCCUGGGGGCUGGAAGGGAGGCCUUGUCCUUGUGCUAAGGGCUUCUGCCAUAGCUGGUCAGACUAGGAAUUUUUAGUAUCAUUUAAUUAGGAAGUACAGAAUUAAUGACCUAAUCUCUCCCAUGUUCUUUUAAGAGACCUCACCGCCCAAUUUCCCACCAGGUGUCACUUUGUCUACAGGAUGAAAUGCACACUUCACAUGGGAUGGAUGAUGGCAGCACACAGAGGCAGUAUUAUCAGUUUCCUCCCAGAUUUACUCACGUUUUCAUAAGACAUGGAUAUGGUGACAGGAUGGACAGAUGGGUGACCAUUGCAGGACAAGAAAUCAGUGUAACAAAUUGAAUUUAAAAAGAAAGAACUCAAGGAAGAAGACAGGCUGCUUUCUCAAGUAUAGGCCUCCAUCAGAGUCUUGGUCCUGAGUUUUGCAACUGUCUACAGACUUGAUUUGUGAAAAUAGCUGGGGUUGAGCAGGCUCAGGUAGACUGACACUGGCCAACCACACUCAUGAAUGAGUAUGGAUUAGACUUUAAUUCAUGAUUUUAUAAGGAGAAUUCUGCCCUGGAUGGUCAGUUAAUUGUUUCCCUCAUGAACACAGUCCACGAGGAGAGCCAGAUUCCCGUUUCCAGUUUGACUUCAGAGCAGAUGGAUGAGCAUCUUGGUGAAUGUCCUCAGAUCAUGGCCCCCAUAACUAUGUGGAGACAGGGAAGGAUGUUGCUAUACUCCUGAGAAGUCUACUUACCUGGGGAAAACCCAUAAUUUCUGGUGUUUAUUUUCCUGUCCCGACUCCCUGGUAGGUUAGACCCCUUUCAGUAACCUACAUUGUCCUGCCAACCCCUGCCACCCUUUAGGUUAAUUAAGUCUUAGGAAUAAACACCCAGGAUUUGCCUUAGGUGUUCCCCCAAGUCUUCCUCAAUAGCUCACUGGCAGAAAGGCUGGAAAAGUGGCUGCUGUAGAUGCUAAUUUCAUCCACCGUGCCUUGCAUUCUCCAAUUUAACUUUCCAGGGAUAAAGAUUUCCAAUUCCCGAACUGCCUUUAUUAGUUCAGCGCCUAUAAAGAAAUCUAGACUCCGCAUCUAGAGAUCCUGUUUCAACUGAUUUAUGGUGGGCCCAGAACAUCAAUAUCGUUUUUUUUUCAAGCUCCCCAAUUUUUCUAGUUGAGAACCAAGACUAAGGCAACUGGAAUCCUAAUUCCCAGUCCUCUUGUCCACUAGUGCAGGUGGAUGCACUUCCUGAAUGCCUGCCCUCUGCUGGGCGCUCUCCGCAACAGGAUGUUUCCCCAUCAGCCUCACAGCCACUCUGGGUGUCGGCAUUAUUGUUUCCCAAGGUUUCAUCCAGGAACGGAGGCUUAAGAGAAUUCUAAGAUCCUCAAAUUAGUAAAUGGCAGAGUCUCUAUUUGAACUUAGCCCUAGCCUGACAUUAAACCUCAUGCACUUUCAAUACACGCUACCGUAUUUGAGCUAAGUGCUCAAAUGUCCCACGUUUCAGUGGAGGUGUUAAAGCUACCAUCUACUAUGAGGUGAGGUUUGUUAUCCAGGACUUGAGCUCCUAGGGUAAAAGUCUCCCCGCCCCCCACCCAAGCACAGAUGUUUGUUUUAACCUAAUCCUUUACAGGUUGUUGGCCAUGCAACCCAGGCAGCUGAUGAUUAUGCUUUGUCAUCAGUAGAGGACAGACAGAUGGACUUAAUGAAAGAUCAUGACCUUACUAAUAUGUUAAUCUCAGUUUCUUAACAAGAAUGCAUAUAUAAGUAGGUGACCAUAUCUGGGUCAUUUCUUUAUCUUGAUUGACUUGUUAUCCCGGGGCAUGUGUGAGGGGAUUAUGGAUGUAUAUUGAUGCAUGCAUUUGGUGUGUUCUGUUAAAGAAGCCCUUCAUCAGUGGAGGAAGCCAGCAGGCCAGCUUUACAGAUAACCCUGCUUUUCACCCCGCAUUAUGUUCCAUUCGAGCCAUGUAGUUUUAAGUGUGUACGUGUAUCAUUUGUAUUGUUUUUUUUUUUUAUUUUUUUUAACAGCAAGAGAGACAGAGUGUGAGCAGGGGCUGGGGGGCAGAGAGAGAGGGAGACACAGAAUCCCAAGCAGGCUCCAGGCUCUGAGCUGUCAGCACAGAGCCCAACACGGGGCUCAAACUCAUGGACCACAAGUCAUAAGACCUGAGCCAAAGUCAGACACUUAACUGACCGAGCCACCCAGUCACCCCUAAAUGUAUGCACUUAUCAAAGAUACCCUGAUGUGCUACUGAAAACUAUGCCUAUUUGGCACAUAAAAAUAAAACAACUGUGUAUUAUAAAGUGGACCUUUUUGAAAUAAUAGAAUUCUGAUAUUAAGUAAGCAUUGAAUAAAUAUUCAUUUUGUUCACACUUUCAGACUUUAGGAAAUCUUGAUGAUGUACACGGUUAAUAUCUGUUUAAGAAGCUAUCUUAAGUUUCAAUGGAUACGUUCAUUUGAUAAAUUUAUAAGGAGAUGUAUUUAAGUUAUUUGAGUUCUUCUCAGCUAAAAGUUGGGAUCAUUCUUUAUCACAUGGGCAUUAACACUGUCAUAUUACAUGAAGACGUGAGAAGGUACUCCAACUGUGAGAAGUAAGAGAGCCUGUAUCCCCAGUGCUGGGCUUUCUCCUAAACGGUGGGUUCAAAAACUGUGGCCCAUUGUUGUCAAAGUUUGAUCGGAACAAAGCUACGUCCGUUUGUUUCACAUUAUCUCUGAUUGUUUCUGUGCUUCAGUGGCACAGUUGAGUAGUGACAGAGAACAUAUCUGGGCCUGUACAGGAAAAGUUUACCAACUCCUGCCUGAAGCACAAAUGUAUCAUCGUAAUAGUCUCCUUUAUGUGACAUACCAGUGUCUCAAAUUGCACAAGUUCAUAAUGGUUCUUUUUUCAUUUUACCCCAAAA
This is a long non-coding RNA of Acinonyx jubatus (cheetah), 3510 nucleotides long. RefSeq lists it as uncharacterized. The transcript is spliced from 2 exons. NCBI's taxonomy places the organism in Eukaryota, Metazoa, Chordata, Mammalia, Carnivora, Felidae. The record is from RefSeq and is a predicted model, not a curated record.